UAGGUAGGGGGCUAGCGUUGUGCGGAAUCAUUGGGCGUAAAGCGCGUGUAGGCGGUCCGGUAAGUCCGCUGUGAAAGUCGGGGGCUCAACCCUCGGAUGCCGGUGGAUACUGUCGGGCUUGAGUACGGAAGAGGCGAGUGGAAUUCCUGGUGUAGCGGUGAAAUGCGCAGAUAUCAGGAGGAACACCAAUUGCGAAGGCAGCUCGCUGGGACGUUACUGACGCUGAGACGCGAAAGCGUGGGGAGCAAACAGG
RNAcentral lists this ribosomal RNA (253 nucleotides) under uncultured bacterium. RNAcentral describes it as "partial 16S ribosomal RNA". It matches the Rfam family "Bacterial small subunit ribosomal RNA", at positions 524 to 776 of the family's 1533-position model. The record is from RNAcentral.